RNAcentral lists this long non-coding RNA (599 nucleotides) under Cyanistes caeruleus (blue tit). RNAcentral's name for it is "lncRNA (ENSCCEG00000014468.1)". The record is from RNAcentral. Lineage: Eukaryota; Metazoa; Chordata; Aves; Passeriformes; Paridae.
CUGGCCAAUGUUCCCAGCUGAGCACCCCUUCCACUGAUUUUCCUCCUGCUGAACAGCCUGUUAGCAGCUUUGGUGAGUGAAGUCUGCUGAGAAGUCCAGCUGGGUUAGUUUUCUGAAAGAUUAGCAAACUGUGUCAGCCUGUGGAGGGGUCUAGUGAGAAUCAGAGCCAGAAAACUGAAGGAAAUAGGAAGAUGUUGAAGAGUUAUGAUCCAACACACCUUUGUGCUACACCCAGCAUGGAUGUAUGUUUUCAGAUUUCUGCCGGCUCACAGGAAUGAUUAUCAAAAGGAAUGGCUGCCCUUUUCAGCAAAUACAGCAGAAGGGAAGUUCUCAAUUCAUAAUUCACACAGGGAGCAUGAUUCAAAGACAUGAAGACUGAUCAAUAUCUGCAAAUGACAUGGGAUCUCUGGACAAGACCAAGAAACAGGACAAACUGAGUCUAAUUCUUGAUGAUACUCUGGUUACAGGUUCUCUUUUCACAGUAGGAGUGUAAUGGAUAUAAUAAGUUUAAUGAUAUUUUUUUUUAAAAAAUAGUACCUAUCACUGCAUUUUGUCCUUUAAUCAUAACAGACCCAAAUAAAGAUGAACAUUCCUAACCA